RNAcentral lists this long non-coding RNA (996 nucleotides) under Rosa chinensis. Its description in RNAcentral is "sRNA RchiOBHm_Chr2g0133571". Lineage: Eukaryota; Viridiplantae; Streptophyta; Magnoliopsida; Rosales; Rosaceae. The record is from RNAcentral.
CUCAUUCCUCAUUUCCUCUCGAAGUCUCGAGCAGUCGAGCCUCCAGUUCUCCUUUCGAUCCGUUUUGUGACCUAAACCCUAAACUCAUUCCUCAUUUCCUCUCGAAGUCUCGAGCCUCCAGUUCUCCACUCUCCACCUUUCCUUCACUACUUCACCGACUGAGGCUCCAUCAAUUCAGCUCAUAAGCAUCACCGAGACACCGACCCAUUCCCAAUUUCCCAAAGUACCUGCCUUCCUGGUCACCGAGACUGCCUUCCUGGUCCAGCCGUCAGCUCGGGGAAGUGGUUUCUUCGUCGUCAGCUUCGCCGUGGUUUCGAGUCGCCAGCUUCGCCGUGGUUUCUCCGUCGUCAGCUUCGCCGUUGCUUCAAACACAUAAGACUGCAAAUGUAAGCCAUGGAUUCUUAGUUUCUUACAGUUUUGCACUUUGAGGAAGUAUAGACAAACUUCGAUUUCAUUGCCGAUGGUUUUGCAAUUUUGAUUUGUUUGAUUGGGAUUGUGAGAUUACAUGUGUAGGAUUAGCCGAUUAGGACUUAGGAGUUCAAUUUGUUCGAUUGGGUUUGUGAGAUUACAGUUGAGUUCGUGAAGAUCGAUUGGGUCAGUGGGUUUUGUGAAAUUUGUUCGAUUGGGUCAGUGGGUUUUGUGAAAUUUUGAUACUUACGCUUAACAAUUGGAUUUUUAGAGUUGAAGAGUGAGUUAAGCAAGAACUCGGAUGCUUCAAUGUUGUUGUGCUUCUAAAUGUAGAAUCUGAAUUGCACUCUCUAAUGUAAAAAUCAAUGUCUGUGUCUAAAAGGAGGCAGAGUGAUUGACAGGAGGCAGAAUGUGGAAAAGAAAACGAGAUCAUGAGGCAGAAUGGGAAGGAACAAGAGAAAAAAGGAAUACAAUUCAAGAAGCUGAUGGCUAGGCAGAUUUUCAAGAAGCUGUGUGCACAUUUUCAAUGAAGUGUCAAAUUGUGGACUGUAAUGGAUUAUUAAAUUAUGCAGAUUUGGUCUUCUUUCA